This 433-nucleotide ribosomal RNA is filed under the name uncultured bacterium. RNAcentral's name for it is "partial 16S ribosomal RNA". It matches the Rfam family "Bacterial small subunit ribosomal RNA", at positions 29 to 507 of the family's 1533-position model. The record is from RNAcentral.
AACGAACGCUGGCGGCAUGCCUAACACAUGCAAGUCGAACGAUCCCUUCGGGGAUAGUGGCGCACGGGGGCGUAACGCGUGGGAAGCUGCCCUUAGGUUCGGAAUAACUCAGAGAAAUUUGAGCUAAUACCGGAUAAUGUCUUCGGACCAAGGAUUUAUCGCCUUUGGAUGGGCCCGAGUUGGAUUAGCUGGUUGGUGGGGUAAAGGCCUACCAUUGCGACGAUCCAGAGCUGGUCGGAGAGGAUGACACGCCACACUGGGACGGCGGCACGGCCCAGAAUCCUACGGGAGGCAGGAGUGGGUUAUACUGGGCGCGGGGCGAAAGCGUGAUACAGCAGUGCCGCGGGAGUGAUGAAGGGCUUAGGGUUGUAAAGCUCUUUUACCCGGGAUGAUAAUGACAGUACCGGGAGAAGAAGCCCCGGCUAACUCCGUG